RNAcentral lists this ribosomal RNA (254 nucleotides) under uncultured bacterium. RNAcentral's name for it is "partial 16S ribosomal RNA". It matches the Rfam family "Bacterial small subunit ribosomal RNA", at positions 524 to 776 of the family's 1533-position model. The record is from RNAcentral.
GACGUAGGAUGCAAGCGUUGUCCGGAUUUAUUGGGCGUAAAGAGCUCGUAGGCGGCUUAGUAAGUCGGGUGUGAAACCUCCAGGCUCAACCUGGAGACGCCACCCGAUACUGCUGUGGCUAGAGUCCGGUAGGGGAGCGUGGAAUUCCUGGUGUAGCGGUGAAAUGCGCAGAUAUCAGGAGGAACACCAAUGGCGAAGGCAGCACUCUGGGACGUGACUGACGCUGAGACGCGAAAGCGUGGGGAGCAAACAGG